RNAcentral lists this ribosomal RNA (877 nucleotides) under uncultured bacterium. RNAcentral describes it as "bacterial SSU rRNA". It matches the Rfam family "Bacterial small subunit ribosomal RNA", at positions 1 to 877 of the family's 1533-position model. The record is from RNAcentral.
UUAGAGUUUGAUCCUGGCUCAGGAUGAACGCUAGCGGCAGGCUUAACACAUGCAAGUCGAGGGGCAGCGAGAUCAGUGCUUGCACUGAUUGUCGGCGACCGGCGCACGGGUGCGUAACGCGUAUGCAACCUACCCAUUACAGGGGGAUAACACUGAGAAAUCGGUACUAAUACCCCAUAACAUCCAGGGAGGCAUCUUCUUGGGUUGAAAACUCCGGUGGUAAUGGAUGGGCAUGCGUUGUAUUAGUUAGUUGGUGGGGUAACGGCUCACCAAGACAACGAUACAUAGGGGGACUGAGAGGUUAACCCCCCACAUUGGUACUGAGACACGGACCAAACUCCUACGGGAGGCAGCAGUGAGGAAUAUUGGUCAAUGGACGCAAGUCUGAACCAGCCAUGCCGCGUGCAGGAAGACGGCUCUAUGAGUUGUAAACUGCUUUUGUACGAGGGUAAACGCAGAUACGCGUAUCUGUCUGAAAGUAUCGUACGAAUAAGGAUCGGCUAACUCCGUGCCAGCAGCCGCGGUAAUACGGAGGAUUCAAGCGUUAUCCGGAUUUAUUGGGUUUAAAGGGUGCGUAGGCGGUCGGAUAAGUUAGAGGUGAAAUCCCGGGGCUCAACUUCGGAAUUGCCUCUGAUACUGUUCGGCUAGAGAGUAGUUGCGGUAGGCGGAAUGUAUGGUGUAGCGGUGAAAUGCUUAGAGAUCAUACAGAACACCGAUUGCGAAGGCAGCUUACCAAGCUACUUCUGACGUUGAGGCACGAAAGCGUGGGGAGCAAACAGGAUUAGAUACCCUGGUAGUCCACGCAGUAAACGAUGAUAACUCGUUGUCGGCGAUACAGUGUCGGUGACUAAGCGAAAGCGAUAAGUAUCCACCUGGG